UACAGAGGGUGCGAGCGUUAAUCGGAAUUACUGGGCGUAAAGCGUGCGUAGACGGUUAUGUAAGUCAGAUGUGAAAGCCCCGGGCUCAGCCUGGGAAUUGCAUUUGAGACUGUGUAGCUAGGGUGCGGAAGAGGGAAGCGGAAUUUCCGGUGUAGCGGUGAAAUGCGUAGAUAUCGGAAGGAACACCAGUGGCGAAAGCGGCUUCCUGGUCCAGCACCGACGUUCAGGCACGAAAGCGUGGGGAGCAAACAGG
RNAcentral lists this ribosomal RNA (253 nucleotides) under uncultured bacterium. RNAcentral's name for it is "partial 16S ribosomal RNA". It matches the Rfam family "Bacterial small subunit ribosomal RNA", at positions 524 to 776 of the family's 1533-position model. The record is from RNAcentral.